Long non-coding RNA from Fukomys damarensis (Damara mole-rat), 310 nucleotides. RefSeq lists it as uncharacterized. The transcript has 3 exons. The record is from RefSeq and is a predicted model, not a curated record. NCBI's taxonomy places the organism in Eukaryota, Metazoa, Chordata, Mammalia, Rodentia, Bathyergidae.
AGGGGCUCAGGAUAAUGCAUGUAGAAGAGGCUUUCGGAAUUUUGGAGAAACUGAGACGCUCCUGUGCCCACCUAGUCCCUGUGAGCUGCAUCCGCAUUCUUCAUCAGGAAAGGCAGCAAGAUCAGCAGCAAGGAGAACUAAGCAGAGUUCCUGGAGGUAAAACCUGUGAAAGCGUGGGUCCCUGUGAAAGACUAUAGCCUCAGGAGUUUCUUGUUGUCCUGGUAGUCACUCAACUUCCAGCAAGGUGUCAGAGUUCUGAUGGUCAUCUAGACCAAUGCUCAGUUAAGACCUGAUCAUUGCCCACAUGAAG